UACGGAGGGGGCUAGCGUUGUUCGGAAUUACUGGGCGUAAAGCGCGCGUAGGCGGCUUUGUAAGUUAGAGGUGAAAGCCUGGAGCUCAACUCCAGAACUGCCUUUAAGACUGCAUCGCUAGAAUCGUGGAGAGGUGAGUGGAAUUCCGAGUGUAGAGGUGAAAUUCGUAGAUAUUCGGAAGAACACCAGUGGCGAAGGCGACUCACUGGACACGUAUUGACGCUGAGGUGCGAAAGCGUGGGGAGCAAACAGG
Molecule: ribosomal RNA, 253 nt
Filed under: uncultured bacterium
Lineage: Bacteria
Also listed under: 1 other name
Description: partial 16S ribosomal RNA
Rfam family: Bacterial small subunit ribosomal RNA
Source: RNAcentral